GAUGAACGCUAGCUACAGGCUUAACACAUGCAAGUCGAGGGGAAACGACAUCGAAAGCUUGCUUUUGAUGGGCGUCGACCGGCGCACGGGUGAGUAACGCGUAUCCAACCUGCCCAUCACUUGGGAAUAACCUUGCGAAAGUAAGACUAAUACCCAAUGAUAUCCCACGAAGGCAUCGGAAUGGGAUUAAAGAUUUAUCGGUGAUGGAUGGGGAUGCGUCUGAUUAGCUUGUUGGCGGGGUAACGGCCCACCAAGGCAACGAUCAGUAGGGGUUCUGAGAGGAAGGUCCCCCACAUUGGAACUGAGACACGGUCCAAACUCGUACGGGAGGCAGCAGUAAGGAAUAUUGGGCAAUGGGCGAGAGCCUGAACCAGCCAAGUAGCGUGCAAGAAGACGGCCCUAGGGGUUGUAAACUGCUUUUAUAAGGGAAUAAAGUGGGUCACGUGUGACUUUUUGCAUGUACCUUAUGAAUAAGGACCGGCUAAUUCCGUG
This 492-nucleotide ribosomal RNA is filed under the name uncultured bacterium. RNAcentral describes it as "partial 16S ribosomal RNA". It matches the Rfam family "Bacterial small subunit ribosomal RNA", at positions 28 to 507 of the family's 1533-position model. The record is from RNAcentral.